This 263-nucleotide ribosomal RNA is filed under the name uncultured bacterium. RNAcentral describes it as "partial 16S ribosomal RNA". It matches the Rfam family "Bacterial small subunit ribosomal RNA", at positions 90 to 354 of the family's 1533-position model. The record is from RNAcentral.
CAUGAGUGGCGGACGGGUGAGUAACGCGUGGGCAACCUGGCCUGUACAGGGGGAUAACACUUAGAAAUAGGUGCUAAUACCGCAUAACGGGGGAAGCCGCAUGGCUUUUCCCUGAAAACUCCGGUGGUACAGGAUGGGCCCGCGUCUGAUUAGCCAGUUGGCAGGGUAACGGCCUACCAAAGCGACGAUCAGUAGCCGGCCUGAGAGGGCGGACGGCCACACUGGGACUGAGACACGGCCCAAACUCCUACGGGAGGCAGCAG